RNAcentral lists this ribosomal RNA (360 nucleotides) under uncultured Burkholderia sp. RNAcentral describes it as "bacterial SSU rRNA". It matches the Rfam family "Bacterial small subunit ribosomal RNA", at positions 964 to 1325 of the family's 1533-position model. Lineage: Bacteria; Pseudomonadati; Pseudomonadota; Betaproteobacteria; Burkholderiales; Burkholderiaceae. The record is from RNAcentral.
AAGAACCUUACCUACCCUUGACAUGUACGGAACCCUGCCGAGAGGUGGGGGUGCCCGAAAGGGAGCCGUAACACAGGUGCUGCAUGGCUGUCGUCAGCUCGUGUCGUGAGAUGUUGGGUUAAGUCCCGCAACGAGCGCAACCCUUGUCCCCAGUUGCUACGCAAGAGCACUCCGGGGAGACUGCCGGUGACAAACCGGAGGAAGGUGGGGAUGACGUCAAGUCCUCAUGGCCCUUAUGGGUAGGGCUUCACACGUCAUACAAUGGUCGGAACAGAGGGUUGCGAAGCCGCGAGGUGGAGCCAAUCCCAGAAAACCGAUCGUAGUCCGGAUUGCAGUCUGCAACUUCGACUGCAUGAAAGC